RNAcentral lists this ribosomal RNA (478 nucleotides) under uncultured bacterium. Its description in RNAcentral is "bacterial SSU rRNA". It matches the Rfam family "Bacterial small subunit ribosomal RNA", at positions 28 to 517 of the family's 1533-position model. The record is from RNAcentral.
GAUGAACGCUGGCGGCGUGCUUAACACAUGCAAGUCGAACGAAGAUGCCGGAGUGCUUGCACUUUGGCAGACUGAGUGGCGGACGGGUGAGUAACGCGUGGGUAACCUGCCUUAUACAGGGGGAUAACAGUUGGAAACGACUGCUAAUACCGCAUAAGCGCACGGUAUCGCAUGAUACAGUGUGAAAAACUCCGGUGGUAUAAGAUGGACCCGCGUCUGAUUAGCUUGUUGGUGAGGUAACGGCCCACCAAGGCGACGAUCAGUAGCCGGCCUGAGAGGGUGAACGGCCACAUUGGGACUGAGACACGGCCCAAACUCCUACGGGAGGCAGCAGUGGGGAAUAUUGCACAAUGGGGGAAACCCUGAUGCAGCGACGCCGCGUGAGUGAUGAAGUAUUUCGGUAUGUAAAACUCUAUCAGCAGGGAAGAUAAUGACGGUACCUGACUAAGAAGCCCGGCUAACUACGUGCCAGCAGCCG